This is a long non-coding RNA of Corvus hawaiiensis (hawaiian crow), 870 nucleotides long. RefSeq lists it as uncharacterized. The transcript has 4 exons. The record is from RefSeq and is a predicted model, not a curated record. NCBI's taxonomy places the organism in Eukaryota, Metazoa, Chordata, Aves, Passeriformes, Corvidae.
GCAGGCAGAGAGUUCUCCCAGAGGCUCUAGGUGGUACUGUCCAAAGCCAUCGGGCAGAAGCAGCUGGGACAGCAUCUCAAACUGGAACCCUGGGGCUCAUGGUCCAAUACCCAUCCCUUCAGGCAUGACUCUCCCUACAGGAGCAACGUAGACUCUACUGCAAUCUCAGUUACAUACUGCUUUUCCCUCUGCAGCUAUCUGCUGCCAGUUCCUCUGCAGGACUUUGAUUCUACAUGGCAGUAUCUUUUAACAUUAGAAUGACGACUUUUACAAAAGCUGAGACAAAUAUAAUUUCCCUUCAAAUCCUUGUGACACAUCACUGAGGACAGUAUCAAGUUUUAUCCUGCCUUGAGACUGCAGAACAGAGAAUAAUCUGAGGAAGAACAAUCUUAACUGAUAAUAUCACUCAAAACCACAUACUUGAGCCCUGGCAGGCAAGACUGCGGCUUCACCAUUCAAGCACAGACCUGUGCAGCUCACGCCCAGUGGCCAGAAGCAGCUCGCAGAAUGUUUUAUCCCACUCACAUUGGAGACACACAAACAGGUUGGUACAUUUUAAUGAGCUGCUGUGCAAAACGAGUUCCUAGUAAGCAACAUGGAGAACACUCUCAAAGCCACAGUUCCUCCACCUUCAUUCCUGCUGACAUGAACAGGCAGAGCUGCUGGCCCUGGGAAGGGAAGAGCUUGAUAGGAACCAGGAAAAGCUGAGCACCCUGGUUGGAGCCCAGCCUGGGAAGGCACAUGUUAAGAGCAAGAAGGCAGGAAUCUUGGGGAGCAUGGUGUAGGGGCUGCUCUGGGAAACUGAACAGAACAGAAAAUAAAAGGUUGGUAGAAGCCGGCAUGCCCCCCAUGCUUUUCACAGGGAAUAGG